Molecule: long non-coding RNA, 887 nt
Organism: Pollicipes pollicipes
Lineage: Eukaryota; Metazoa; Arthropoda; Thecostraca; Pollicipedomorpha; Pollicipedidae
Exons: 5
Source: RefSeq, a predicted model, not a curated record
UAUGAGGCCCCGCAAAAAGCGCGUAGAGCCUUUUGGGCAAAUGGAUAGAAUCUGUGGAGGAAAACCUGAUCGAUCAACAAUGCUCAAGUAUGGAGCUAGAUAGCUUCCCAACGAUACAUUAGGCCCUCCCAAAAAAUGCAAAGAGGUCAAAGGCAACGUGGAAAGCUCCUUAGCGAUCAUGUUGACCCGGCAAGUGGACAUAUAGGGCCAGGCAACCAACAGCGUAAUGCCUCUAGCCAGGGUAAUGAGCCCCAAAAUUACCCCAAGCAACACGUUUUCAAUCAAUGUAGAAUCAAAGGCAUCGAGUUUUGCUGCGUUUUUGUUGUAAGAAAACUGCGUCUGUCCAGACGCUUAUGAACCCCUUCAGAGCAAAGGAAAAGGCAAACAAGACAAGAAGCAGGGCAAAUGCCGUAGAAAAGCUAAACACAGUUGUCCCAGCCAAUCAUCAGCAAAGUCUCACAUGCCCACUUUUGGGUCAGAACAUGGAGCAGAGCUGGAUAACUCCGAAGAUCCGGAUCGACCGACGUAGGCAUAGCGCCAAGAGACGGAGGCCAAACAUUGGGAGGAAGUCAGGAGGGGGCUAUUUGAUGAUGCCGUAGCUGCUCGUGCUGUGCCGAGUCCGGGAUUGACUUGCUCGCUUUGCGAGAGUCUUGCGAGUGUAAGCUGCGGGAACUGCCCGGGGGCGGCACUGUGCCACCAUUGUGAUGUUGAAGAGCACACCAUGCGGCCAUUCCACGCCAGACAGCAGUGGGCGUCUGGGUUUAUGCAGCCUUUGGCUACAGAUCCGGUUCUGCCGCUGCAUGCGCGCAAGAAGGCCUGUGAAGCCUGUUCAUGUUCAGCUGAGUGCAAGACGCGCCCCUCAUCGGUCGAGGUGUUGGCCAUUGCCA